RNAcentral lists this unclassified non-coding RNA (194 nucleotides) under uncultured fungus. RNAcentral describes it as "sequence contains ITS1, 5.8S rRNA gene". Lineage: Eukaryota; Fungi. The record is from RNAcentral.
UAACUUGUUUGUUUUUUCUCGAGAUGCCAACGCAAAGAGACAGAGUAUAGUAGGCUGCCGGCGGGCUGUGCGCCCCGGCGAGGGAAAACCCCCGCCGGGACACCCGCCGAAGCAACGUGCUUGUAGUGAGGUUCACAGGGUGAAGGAGUCUUGCGAGUCCUGUAAUGAUCCCUCCGCUGGUUCACCAACGGAGA